UACGUAGGGUGCAAGCGUUAAUCGGAAUUACUGGGCGUAAAGCGUGCGCAGGCGGUUAUGUAAGACAGAUGUGAAAUGCCCGGGCUUAACCUGGGAACUGCAUUUGUGACUGCAUGGCUAGAGUUUGGCAGAGGGGGGUAGAAUUCCACGUGUAGCAGUGAAAUGCGUAGAUAUGUGGAGGAACACCGGUGGCGAAGGCGGCUUCCUGGACCGACACUGACGCUGAGGCGCGAAAGCUAGGGGAGCAAACGGG
RNAcentral lists this ribosomal RNA (253 nucleotides) under uncultured bacterium. RNAcentral describes it as "partial 16S ribosomal RNA". It matches the Rfam family "Bacterial small subunit ribosomal RNA", at positions 524 to 776 of the family's 1533-position model. The record is from RNAcentral.